RNAcentral lists this non-coding RNA (159 nucleotides) under Stegodyphus mimosarum. RNAcentral describes it as "Eukaryotic large subunit ribosomal RNA". It matches the Rfam family "Eukaryotic large subunit ribosomal RNA", at positions 2825 to 2984 of the family's 3401-position model. The record is from Rfam by way of RNAcentral. Lineage: Eukaryota; Metazoa; Arthropoda; Arachnida; Araneae; Eresidae.
GAUAAGUGACUUGCAGUGGGAAAGUGUUCAUAGCAACGUUGCUUUUCAUUCUUCAAUAUCAAUUUUUUCUAUCACUGCGAUAUAAAAUUUGCCAAGCUUUCUAUUGGUCACCCACUAAUAUGGAAUGUGAGCUGGGUUUAGACCGUUGUGAGACAGGUU